UGGGGAAUUUUGCACAAUGGGGGAAACCCUGAUGCAGCGACGCCGCGUGAUUUAGAAGGCCUUCGGGUUGUAAAAAUCUUUUCUGUGGGAAGAAAAUGACAGUACCAUAGGAAUAAGGACCGGCUAAUUACGUGCCAGCAGCCGCGGUAAUACGUAAGGUCCGAGCGUUGUCCGGAAUCAUUGGGCCUAAAGGGUACGUAGGCGGGUAAGCAAGUUAGAAGUGAAAUCCUAUAGCUCAACUAUAGUAAGCUUUUAAAACUGCUCAUCUUGAGGUAUGGAAGGGAAAGUGGAAUUCCUAGUGUAGCGGUGAAAUGCGCAGAUAUUAGGAGGAAUACCGGUGGCGAAGGCGACUUUCUGGCCAUAACCUGACGCUGAGGUACGAAAGCGUGGGUAGCAAACAGG
RNAcentral lists this ribosomal RNA (402 nucleotides) under bacterium. RNAcentral's name for it is "partial 16S ribosomal RNA". It matches the Rfam family "Bacterial small subunit ribosomal RNA", at positions 355 to 776 of the family's 1533-position model. The record is from RNAcentral.